ACUCCAGACUCCUACGGGAGGCAGCAGUGGGGAAUAUUGCACAAUGGGGGAAACCCUGAUGCAGCAACGCCGCGUGAGUGAAGAAGUAUUUCGGUAUGUAAAGCUCUAUCAGCAGGGAAGAAAAUGACGGUACCUGAGUAAGAAGCCCCGGCUAACUACGUGCCAGCAGCCGCGGUAAUACGUAGGGGGCAAGCGUUAUCCGGAUUUACUGGGUGUAAAGGGAGCGUAGACGGCGAUACAAGUCUGAAGUGAAAGCCCGGGGCUCAACCCCGGGACUGCUUUGGAAACUGUGUUGCUGGAGUGCUGGAGAGGCAAGCGGAAUUCCUAGUGUAGCGGUGAAAUGCGUAGAUAUUAGGAGGAACACCAGUGGCGAAGGCGGCCUGCUGGACGAUGACUGACGUUGAGGCUCGAAAGCGUGGGGAGCAAACAGGAUUAGAUACCCCCGUAG
RNAcentral lists this ribosomal RNA (448 nucleotides) under uncultured bacterium. Its description in RNAcentral is "bacterial SSU rRNA". It matches the Rfam family "Bacterial small subunit ribosomal RNA", at positions 328 to 793 of the family's 1533-position model. The record is from RNAcentral.